GCACAAGCGGUGGAGCAUGUGGUUCAAUUCGAUGCAACGCGAAGAACCUUACCAGGACUUGACAUCCUGCGAAUCCCUUGGAAACAAGGGAGUGCCCUUUUAGGGAGCGCAGAGACAGGUGGUGCAUGGUUGUCGUCAGCUCGUGUCGUGAGAUGUUGGGUUAAGUCCCGCAACGAGCGCAACCCUUGCCCUUAGUUGCCAACACAUAAUGGUGUGCACUCUAAGGGGACUGCCGGUGACAAACCGGAGGAAGGUGGGGAUGACGUCAAAUCAUCAUGCCCUUUAUGUCCUGGGCUACACACGUACUACAAUGGCCGUUAACAACGGGAAGCUAAGCCGCGAGGUGGAGCAAAUCCCCAAAAACGGUCCCAGUUCGGAUUGCAGGCUGAAACUCGCCUGUAUGAAGUUGGAAUUGCUAGUAAUCGCAGAUCAGCAUGCUGCGGUGAAUACGUUCCCGGGC
RNAcentral lists this ribosomal RNA (460 nucleotides) under uncultured bacterium. RNAcentral's name for it is "bacterial SSU rRNA". It matches the Rfam family "Bacterial small subunit ribosomal RNA", at positions 923 to 1379 of the family's 1533-position model. The record is from RNAcentral.